UUUGUGCCAAUUCUAGACAACUCCAGAUGUGUGUCUUUCCCACCAGUAUCUGCAGAGACUUGGCCCUGGAGACAGACUUACGCUUGCCAACAGGCAGCCUCCCUGUGCUUUCAGACCCAAGGGUCGAGUUCCUGCUGCCACACUCUCAUCCCUGGCUGUGCUGCCAGAUGUGCUGCAGGAUGGAGGGCAGACGUGCUGGCCCUGAGUCUAAUCUGUCAUCAGCUGAGAGGCCGCUGGCUCCCGCCGUGCCUGUGAACCGAAGCUGCUCUGUUUGUUCCUCUCCCCUCGUCCUGAGCCAGGCAGUGCCAGAAGGAGGGAUUUCUUCUUAAGGAGCUGGGAAAAAUGAACCGACUAAUAGAAAUGGUGAGACUGAGAUUGGCUACUGCAGGUUGAAAAGACAGAUGCAAUGGAGAAACUCCUUUCCACUCCUCAAUUCAAUAAGUCUUUGAUUCGCUAGCUUUGUUCACAUCCAGGGCAGCCAGAAGAGAACAGUCACCUUGUAUUUUUGUACCUGAUGAGAAAACUCCAGAUUGUAUGUGUGCACUGGGACAGUUCAAUGUGUGUCUAUUCCAACUUCAAAGAGGCUUUCAAUGCUCUUUGAGAUGUAGGGUGUGAGGAAGGGUGAGAACUGCUAAAGCUAGCCACAUCCUCAUUAAAUCUUUGCCCUCUCGGAGCAAGCAUGCAAGUGGAGAGAAUAGAUGAUAUGCAUGAGCAACUGAGCAUCUGUGAUCUCAUGACCUUUGACUGUUGUAUUAUGGGAAAUGUAUUCUUUGGUUGCUAUGCUUUUCUAAUUCAUUUGUAUUUUCCUUCAGUGACUCCCUUGUAUUUUCUUUGGUGCUCCCGUGUAACGGUUUCAAGGAACUACAGAUAUCUCCAAGUUAAGCAUGCAUACAAUAGCUUUAAUUAAAUGUUUGUGAGUAUCCCACAGUAAAGCAAGGGAAAGCAAACAGUUUUGUACGCACUUGUACCUAUCCCUUCUGAGCCCUGGCUGGGGUGGAGGCGUUUGCACCAUUGCCCUUUAAGUCUAUUUCCAAGCUGUGAAAUGAAGGCAAUCAGGUCCCACUGCUCUGCACGUAAGCGCUUCAGGAAUUUCACUCCCAUUAAAAAGCUACAGAUCACCUGUGAAAGGUACAAUGCUAAAACCUUUCAGACUAGGCAAGAAGAAAUAAAAAUAAAUUAGGGGAGAUGUUUCAUUACUCCACUUACAAAACAGGAGAAUGAGGCUAAAAAUAUCCUUAACAAUUUCUUAAAAUACACUAAAAUGCUGUAG
Molecule: long non-coding RNA, 1270 nt
Organism: Empidonax traillii (willow flycatcher)
Lineage: Eukaryota; Metazoa; Chordata; Aves; Passeriformes; Tyrannidae
Exons: 3
Source: RefSeq, a predicted model, not a curated record